GUCGAACGUGAAAGCACUUCGGUGUGAGUAGAGUGGCGGACGGGUGAGUAACGCGUAGGAAUCUACCCAGUAGUGGGGGAUAGCCCGGGGAAACUCGGAUUAAUACCGCAUAAGCUCUUAGGAGGAAAGCGGGGGAUCUUCGGACCUCGUGCCAAUAGAUGAGCCUGCGUAAGAUUAGCUAGAUGGUGGGGUAAUGGCCUACCAUGGCGACGAUCUUUAGCUGGUCUGAGAGGAUGAUCAGCCACACUGGGACUGAGACACGGCCCAGACUCCUACGGGAGGCAGCAGUGGGGAAUAUUGCACAAUGGGCGCAAGCCUGAUGCAGCCAUGCCGCGUGUGUGAAGAAGGCCUUAGGGUUGUAAAGCACUUUCAGUGGGGAGGAAAGGUUAUAAGUUAAUACCUUGUAGCUGUGACGUUACCCACAGAAGAAGGACCGGCUAAUUCCGUGCCAGCAGCCGCGGUAAUACGGAAGGUCCGAGCGUUAAUCGGAAUUACUGGGCGUAAAGCGCACGUAGGCGGCUAGGUCAGUUGGGUGUGAAAGCCCCGGGCUCAACCUGGGAACUGCAUCCAAUACUGCCUGGCUAGAGUACGAGAGAGGGGGGUAGAAUUUCUAGUGUAGCGGUGAAAUGCGUAGAUAUUA
Molecule: ribosomal RNA, 640 nt
Filed under: uncultured Gammaproteobacteria bacterium
Lineage: Bacteria; Pseudomonadati; Pseudomonadota; Gammaproteobacteria
Description: bacterial SSU rRNA
Rfam family: Bacterial small subunit ribosomal RNA
Source: RNAcentral